This 332-nucleotide unclassified non-coding RNA is filed under the name soil metagenome. RNAcentral describes it as "partial contains 5.8S ribosomal RNA, internal transcribed spacer 2, and large subunit ribosomal RNA". The stretch from base 1 to 120 matches the Rfam family "5.8S ribosomal RNA", at positions 35 to 154 of the family's 154-position model. The record is from RNAcentral.
GAUGAAGAACGCAGCAAAAUGCGAUAAGUAAUGUGAAUUGCAGAAUUCAGUGAAUCAUCGAAUCUUUGAACGCACAUUGCGCCCGCCAGUAUUCUGGCGGGCAUGCCUGUUCGAGCGUCAUUUCAACCCUCAAGCACAGCUUGGUGUUGGGACUCGCGUUAAUUCGCGUUCCCCAAAUUGAUUGACGGUCACGUCGAGCUUCCAUAGCGUAGUAGUAAAACCCUCGUUACUGGUAAUCGUCGCGGCCACGCCGUUAAACCCCAACUUCUGAAUGUUGACCUCGGAUCAGGUAGGAAUACCCGCUGAACUUAAGCAUAUCAAUAAGCGGAGGA